This 605-nucleotide long non-coding RNA is filed under the name Brassica napus (rape). RNAcentral's name for it is "long non-coding RNA (BNAP_LNC006747)". The record is from RNAcentral. Lineage: Eukaryota; Viridiplantae; Streptophyta; Magnoliopsida; Brassicales; Brassicaceae.
GGUUUAGCUUAAGAAUGAUCAAAAUCUUUAACAAAUGUGUCUUGUGAAAGGUUAUUCAUGCCACUUUCCAAAAACUCUUCUGUAUACGAAGAUCAAUAGCUAAUGACUGAGUCAAGUUUACAAGAGGUAAAUUGACACAUGAAUCAUCAGUAUUUAACUUUUUUUUCUUUUGCAACCUGUUAACAAAUAUAAAAGGAUAUUAUAGAAUAGAAUAUCAUAAACGUCAAGUUCCAAAAAGCAUAUUAAACAAACAAACGUCAACUUCAAACUACAUCCAUUACAUAAACGUCAAGUUUCAAAUACAAAUUACACAUACAAAACUCAAGUUCAAAAUAGAGCCAUUACAUAAAUGUCAUGUUCCAAAUACAUAUUACACAUACAAAAUUCCAAAUACAUAUUACAUACUAAAAUUACAAAAUGUAAUUCCGCCUAGUUCCAAGUUACAACAACAUAGCUUCAAAGACCUAAAUUCCAUCGCGUAGUUCCAAACAUCCAAGUUCCAACAAUUUUUAACGCUUUCUCUUAAUGAUUACCUUUUUCUUUGAUGGAGCUGUGUCUUUUUUGCUCGUGUUAGGACCAGUGUCGAUUAUGCUCUUGGUUGAUAA